GACGAACGCUGGCGGCGUGCUUAACACAUGCAAGUCGAACGGUGAAGCGCCUUCCUUUUUGGUGGGUGUGGAUGAGUGGCGAACGGGUGAGUAACACGUGAGUAACCUGCCCCCUUCUUCUGGAUAACCGCAUGAAAGUGUGGCUAAUACGGGAUAUUCUGGGUCUGUCGCAUGAUGGGUCUGGGAAAGAUAUUGUUUCGGUGGGGGAGGGGCUCGCGGCCUAUCAGCUUGUUGGUGGGGUGAUGGCCUACCAAGGCGGUGACGGGUAGCCGGCCUGAGAGGGUGGAUGGUCACACUGGGACUGCGACACGGCCCAGACUCCUACGGGAGGCAGCAGUGGGGAAUAUUGCACAAUGGGCGCAAGCCUGAUGCAGCGACGCCGCGUGAGGGAUGGAGGCCUUCGGGUUGUGAACCUCUUUCGCCAGUGAAGCAGGCCUGCCUCGUUUGUGGGUGGGUUGACGGUAGCUGGAUAAGAAGCGCCGGCUAACUACGUG
This 494-nucleotide ribosomal RNA is filed under the name uncultured bacterium. RNAcentral's name for it is "partial 16S ribosomal RNA". It matches the Rfam family "Bacterial small subunit ribosomal RNA", at positions 28 to 507 of the family's 1533-position model. The record is from RNAcentral.